CCUACGGGUGGCAGCAGUGGGGGAUAUUGCACAAUGGGGGGAACCCUGAUGCAGCGACGCCGCGUGGGUGAAGGAGUGCUUCGGCAUGUAAAGCCCUAUCGGCAGGGAAGAAGCAAGACGGUACCUGACUAAGAAGCCCCGGCUAACUACGUGCCAGCAGCCGCGGUAAUACGUAGGGGGCGAGCGUUAUCCGGAUUCACUGGGUGUAAAGGGAGCGUAGACGGCCAUGCAAGCCAGGGGUGAAAGCCCGGGGCCCAACCCCGGGACUGCCCUGGGAACUGGGCGGCUAGAGUGCGGGAGGGGAAGGUGGAAUUCCUGGUGUAGCGGUGAAAUGCGUAGAUAUCAGGAGGAACACCGGCGGCGAAGGCGGCUUGCUGGACUGUGACUGACGUUGAGGCUCGAAAGCGUGGGGAGCGAACAGGAUUAGAUACCCGUGUAGUC
RNAcentral lists this ribosomal RNA (441 nucleotides) under uncultured bacterium. RNAcentral's name for it is "partial 16S ribosomal RNA". It matches the Rfam family "Bacterial small subunit ribosomal RNA", at positions 338 to 795 of the family's 1533-position model. The record is from RNAcentral.